Molecule: ribosomal RNA, 324 nt
Filed under: uncultured eukaryote
Lineage: Eukaryota
Description: partial 18S ribosomal RNA
Rfam family: Eukaryotic small subunit ribosomal RNA
Source: RNAcentral
CCCUUAGAUGUUCUGGGCUGCACGCGCGCUACACUGAAGCUAUCAACACGUUUUCCCUCCCUGAGAAGGGCGGGUAACCUUUUGAAUCAGCUUCGUGGUAGGGAUCGGGGCUUGCAAUUGUUCCCCGUGAACCAGGAAUUCCUAGUAGACGCGAGUCAUAAGCUCGCAUCGAUUUAGUCCCUGCCCUUUGUACACACCGCCCGUCGCUACUACCGAUUGAACGUUUUAGUGAGGCAUUUGGACCGACGCAUCUCAGUUUAACCGCUGGUUUGUGUUGGAAAGACUUCCAAACUUGAGCGUUUAGAGGAAGUAAAAGUCGUAACA